Molecule: non-coding RNA, 305 nt
Filed under: Marmota monax (woodchuck)
Lineage: Eukaryota; Metazoa; Chordata; Mammalia; Rodentia; Sciuridae
Source: RNAcentral
GGUGAGCAUGGUGGCAUGCACCUAUAGUCUCAGUCUCAGUGAGAGGCCAGGACAAGGCAGGAAGAUCACUUGAGCAUUGGAGUCAAAGGCUGUAGUAUGCUAUAUUUAUCAGGUAUUUUCACUAAGCUUAGCGUCAAUGUUGUGAUCUCCCAGGAAGCAGGAACCAGCAAGCAACCUAAGGAAGGGUGAACUGGCUCAGUUGGAAAUGGAAGAAGUCAAACCCCCUGUGCUUAUUAGUAGUGGGGUCGCAUCUGUGAAUAGGCACUGUGCUCCAACCUCCGCAACAUAGCAACAACCAUCUUUUA